Molecule: non-coding RNA, 29 nt
Filed under: Mus musculus (house mouse)
Lineage: Eukaryota; Metazoa; Chordata; Mammalia; Rodentia; Muridae
Source: RNAcentral
UGCUUUGAUUCUUCCCACUAUCAGUGUAC